This 440-nucleotide ribosomal RNA is filed under the name uncultured bacterium. RNAcentral describes it as "partial 16S ribosomal RNA". It matches the Rfam family "Bacterial small subunit ribosomal RNA", at positions 338 to 795 of the family's 1533-position model. The record is from RNAcentral.
CCUACGGGUGGCAGCAGUAGGGAAUAUUGCUCAAUGGGCGAAAGCCUGAACCAGCCACGCCGCGUGGGGGAUGAAGGCUUUCGGAUUGGUAACUCCUUUUGUUAGAGAAGAUAAUGACGUUAUCUAACGAAUAAGCACCGGCUAACUCCGUUCCAGCAGCCGCGGUUAUACGGAGGGUGCCAGCGUUACUCGGAAUCACUGGGCGUAAAGAGAGCGUAGGCGGGAUAGCAAGUCAGAUGUGAAACCCUAUGGCUGAACCAUAGAACUGCAUGUGAAACUGUAAUUCUAGAGUAUGGGAGAGGAAGGUGGAAUUCGUGGUGUAGGGGUAAAAUGCGUAGAGAUCAAGAAGAAUACUCAUCGCGAAGGCGACCUGCUAGAACAUAACUGACGCUGAUGCGCGAAAGCGUGGGGAGCAAACAGGAUUAGAUACCCUUGUAGUC